Molecule: ribosomal RNA, 492 nt
Filed under: uncultured bacterium
Lineage: Bacteria
Description: partial 16S ribosomal RNA
Rfam family: Bacterial small subunit ribosomal RNA
Source: RNAcentral
AGUGAACGCUGGCGGUAGGCCUAACACAUGCGAGUCGAACGGCAGCACAGUAAGAGCUUGCUCUUACGGGUGGCGAGUGGCGGACGGGAGAGGAAUACAUCGGAAUCUACUUUUUCGUGGGGGAUAACGUAGGGAAACUUACGCUAAUACCGCAUACGACCUACGGGUGAAAGCAGGGGAUCUUCGGACCUUGCGCGAUUGAAUGAGCCGAUGUCGGAUUAGCUAGUUGGCGGGGUAAAGGCCCACCAAGGCGACGAUCCGUAGCUGGUCUGAGAGGAUGAUCAGCCACACUGGAACUGAGACACGGUCCAGACUCCUACGGGAGGCAGCAGUGGGGUAUAUUGGACAAUGGGCGCAAGCCUGAUCCAGCCAUCCCGCGUGGGUGAAGAAGGCCUUCGGGUUGUAAAGCCCUUUUGUUGGGAAAGAAAAGCAGCAGGUUAAUACCCCGCUGUUCUGACGGUACCCAAAGAAUAAGCACCGGCUAACUUCGUG